This 253-nucleotide ribosomal RNA is filed under the name uncultured bacterium. RNAcentral's name for it is "partial 16S ribosomal RNA". It matches the Rfam family "Bacterial small subunit ribosomal RNA", at positions 524 to 776 of the family's 1533-position model. The record is from RNAcentral.
UACGUAGGGUGCAAGCGUUAUCCGGAUUUAUUGGGCGUAAAGGGCUCGUAGGCGGCUCGUCGCGUCCGGUGUGAAAGUCCAUCGCUUAACGGUGGAUCCGCGCCGGGUACGGGCGGGCUUGAGUGCGGUAGGGGAGACUGGAAUUCCCGGUGUAACGGUGGAAUGUGUAGAUAUCGGGAAGAACACCAAUGGCGAAGGCAGGUCUCUGGGCCGUUACUGACGCUGAGGAGCGAAAGCGUGGGGAGCGAACAGG